GGGGCCGACCUGGUUUCGACGUGGGUGCGGAUUCGGAACAGGGCAUGCCGAGCACCAGUUCGCUCGUAAAUCCACUGGAACAAAGUAACUGCGAACGACGAACGUUUCGCCCUCGCCGCUUAACACCGGUGAGCCUCUCAACGGUUGGCCGAUAGGCCGGGCCCGCAAGGGCUGAGAGGUCAUUCAUAUCGGCUGGUCCGGUGGUGGGUCACUCACCGCAGGAUGAGAUCCAGUGACUGGCGAUGGGGGUAGCGUGCUGCUGCGCGAUCCCUGCCGUGAGACUCAAAUCAGCCAGCUAAGCAUGUAGAACUGUCCGUUGAUGGCUUGCGGACGGGGGUUCGAUUCCCCCCGGCUCCACCA
This 360-nucleotide transfer-messenger RNA is filed under the name Caldimonas caldifontis. Its description in RNAcentral is "Zhizhongheella caldifontis Standard tmRNA". It matches the Rfam family "transfer-messenger RNA". Rfam says of the family: Bacterial tmRNA, also known as 10Sa RNA or SsrA, is named for its dual tRNA and mRNA-like properties. Its role is to liberate the mRNA from a stalled ribosome. Lineage: Bacteria; Pseudomonadati; Pseudomonadota; Betaproteobacteria; Burkholderiales; Sphaerotilaceae. The record is from Rfam by way of RNAcentral.